Arachis ipaensis is the source of this 336-nucleotide non-coding RNA. The record is from RefSeq and is a predicted model, not a curated record. NCBI's taxonomy places the organism in Eukaryota, Viridiplantae, Streptophyta, Magnoliopsida, Fabales, Fabaceae.
CAGAUUCUGAUUCAGAAUCUGAAUCUGAACCAAGUGAUGAGAGCGAAGAAUCAUCACCUGCAGAGAAGGAGAAGAAAAAGAAAAAAACAAAAACAACACCAAAAAAAACACAACCAAAAAAGAAAAAAGUUGUUGUAGAGGAUUCACCUCCUAAAGAAGAUCAAUACUUUGACGGGUACAGUACAUCGUAAGCUAUAUUACCGUCUAUCAUCGUAAUUAUUUUUGUUAACGUCUUCUUUUAUGAAUGUAGUGAGACAUAUGAAAUAUCAAGUGACGAACUAGAUGAAUGGUUAAGGAAAAAUGUUGAUAAAUCUGCUGCAGAGGGGUAUGUCUUGC